Brassica napus (rape) is the source of this 2343-nucleotide RNA transcript. RefSeq lists it as uncharacterized. The transcript is spliced from 10 exons. NCBI's taxonomy places the organism in Eukaryota, Viridiplantae, Streptophyta, Magnoliopsida, Brassicales, Brassicaceae. The record is from RefSeq and is a predicted model, not a curated record.
CGGGGAUCAUUUCUGGGACCUAUAAUGAAGCUCAGUGAGAGAGGAUUGAAGUUAUCAGGAAAGAUAGUCUACGCCAUUCUCACUAGAAGCAUCGUUUCUGUCAAGGAGAAUGAAGCCUGGUUCCAUUUCGGUGCGCAGCCAAUGAGGUUCUCUAUAAGAGAAUUUCAUAUGAUGACAGGCUUGAAAUGUAGUGGUGCAUUAGAAAGACCACGAAGGGAACCCGAGAGGUUUAAUUGGGAAUUGCUAAAGGGGCGUAGUCAUAAGUUAAGUGACGUGGUGGACCAGCUCAGAAACACAAGAGAAGAUGCUUCUGAGGAGAGAGUAUGCCUCGCAAUGCUCAUCCUGGUAGAGAGCAUAUUAUUGCGGAAGAGCAAAGGAGGGAGUUUUCCUUUGGAAUAUGCGAAAAAUGCACAGGAUAUGACAUAUCCAUGGGGAAAAGAGGCUUACAUUGUGCUCCUGAAGUCAAUUCAAAACGCUGUGGCGAAUCAUUUGGAGAAUAAAUCCAAAUUUGAGUUGCAAGGUUAUCCUCUAGUAUUCCUUCUUUGGAUACUAGAGUCGAUUCCUUUGCUAAGGAAUAAGUUCAGUAAGUGUGUACCAACAGUUGAGGUUCCUGGGCCGACUUACUUGUGUGAAAAAUACACUGAGAUAGAGAAUCCAUCACUUGAUAGGGUUUUACAGGUUGAAGCUGAUACAAAGCUGAAGGUCCAUUGCAUACUACCUUCUAUUCCUCAUGAUCCAGAAGAUGAUAUCUCCAUUGAAGACAAAUAUAGUGACGAGUUGGAAACAGUGAAAGAUGUAACAAAGAAAGGGUACAAGAUUACAGCCGAUGACUGGGAAAAUAGGUGUGUAGACACAUUUGACACAUUGGAUGCUCUUAUUCAAAUGAUGGCAAAUAAGGAGACUGGCCAAGCCUCUACUCCGAUUGAUGAGGAUUCAGUAAAUGAAAAAGUGAACAGGAUCAUCACGGUAAUGGAGGAGAAUCUGAAGAGCAUGAAGGAUCGAAUGUCAUUACUGGAAGAAGAAAACAUACAUCUUAGAGCUCGUGUGUCAGAGUUGGAAGGAAACAGCAAUGUUUUUCCCACUAACGUGACACAAAAGCGAUCCAGUGGGACAUCUUUAUCUCCAAUGUCUCACACGCAACCAUCCAGUGGGACACCUUUAUCUCCAAUGUCUCACACGCAACCAUCGAGUGAGACACCUUUAUCUCCAAUGUCUCAACAGCCUAAUUUGACACAUGAGGAGACAAUGAUUGAAUCAGCUGCAUCUCCAAAGUCUCAACAAAAUGAGGAUUACACGCAAUCAUCGAGUGAGACGCCUUUAUCUCCAAUGUCUCAACAGCCUAAUUUGACAAAUGAGGACACAAUGAAUGAAUCAGAUGAUGAAACUCCUGCCCUUGAUACUCAAGUAUUCUCUCCUAAUCUGACAAAAGAGGUAUAUGCUCAAUGAUAUUGUUUUCACAGUUGGAGUUUACAAAUUAGUUUUGGGUGAUUUUUUUUUACAUAUAAAGGCUUUUCUGAUUUUUGACAGAAAGAAACAGAAACGUCUACCGAUGAGAGGCCAUCCAAUCCUAAUCAAGAUGGAAAACCAGAUGAUGAGAUUGUGAGAGAGAAAUUAACAAGUGAGUCACCUGCUAGUCAGAGUCAAGUUUUGCAGAAAGAAACAGUAGAAAUGAAUGAGACACCUUCUUCUCCAAUAGCUCCAAAGAGUAUUGAAACUCCCGUUUAUACUCCAAGUCAGACUCAGCAGAUUGAGAGAGAGCCAUCGGAUGACACGCCUGCCCUUGAUACUCAAGUUUAUACUCCUAAUCUGACAAAAGAGGUAUAUGCUCAAUGACAGUUGGAGUUUACAAUUAGUUUUGGGUGAUUUACAUAUAUAGACCUUUCUAAUUUUGGCAGAGGGAAACACAAACCUCUACUGAUAAAACGACACCCAAAACUAAUCAAGGAGAAGGAAAACCAGAUGAUGAGGUAAUAUUUACUCUAGAAAUUAUAAUUGAAUGUAUUCAUGAUGGCCUUUCCUGAUAUUUUUUGCAGAUUGUGAUUGAGUCACCUGCUGCUCAGACUCAAGUUUUGCAAAAAGAAACACUGGAAAUGAAUGAGACACCUUCUUCUCCAAUAUCUCCAAAGAGUAUUGAGGCUCAAGUUUUUACUCCAAUUCAGAAACAGCAGACGGUAACAGAGGAAACGUAUGAGGCUACACAGCCAUUGACUGAGAUCAUUUCAGCAAACAAUAAAAAGGAGGAUACACAUGCUGUGCAUUACAGACCUUCCUCUCCAUUGUCUUCACUAAUUGCACUAGUUAUUGAAGAAAAUAAGAAUGCUUUGGUAAGAAGAAAUAUUUAAA